GUGCCAAGCAUAUUCAAACCAUAAUACUUGGGGAGAAUCUUAGUACAGUGACCACAUUUGCCCCUCUUUGGAAAUUUUUCCCACUAUCCUGUGUUUAGGAUGAAGAAUAAGGGGUAAAAGUGGGUAAGGUAAAUCUCAAAGACAUUGUAAUUCACAGCCCUUAGAGAAAGGGCAUAAGAAUUAAGACUUUAACUUUUGAUAAUUUCAUAUCCAUUAGCAUCUAAAGAGCUCAAACUAAUUUACCCAGAUUAUACUGUUUUUAUUAAUUGCAGCAUUACAGUACUACAAGAAGACAUAAGCCAGGAGACAGUGGAGGUGUAGGAAAGUCAAUUACAUAGAUACCGAUGAUUUCCCAGCCCAAGGGGAGAAAACUGCAGUUCAAGCUUGUUUGGUUGAUUACAUACAAUCAAAACUUUCAGGUUCAAAAUGAAAACACCAUCACCAGCUCAAUUCCUAAGAUACAGAAUUGGUGCCAGAAGAGGCCACAGGAGAGACAGAUUCUGGAAUAUGGGCUUUGUGGAUAAAUUUUGUUUCCUCUUGUUGUUGAACACAGCACAGAGGAGUGAGCAGUUUCAUCCACCAGAAAGAACAUCACAGUGACAGGCAUCAUAGUUCAGCUGAUGUAGGUACACAGAUACACAUAUGGCCACCUCAAUAUCUACAUAUGUCCUGAGCAUAACUGAGAAUGCAUAUAAAAUCAAGCAAGAGCCUUCAAAAUAAACUAAGUACAAUAACAGGGUGUAUCUUUGGUGGACCAGUACAUAUUUUUUUAAAAAAUCAAAUAAUACUAGAGAGAGACCCAACCGCCUGGUCAGGUG
RNAcentral lists this long non-coding RNA (818 nucleotides) under Rattus norvegicus (Norway rat). RNAcentral's name for it is "long non-coding RNA NONRATT033590". Lineage: Eukaryota; Metazoa; Chordata; Mammalia; Rodentia; Muridae. The record is from RNAcentral.